Molecule: unclassified non-coding RNA, 469 nt
Filed under: uncultured Glomus
Lineage: Eukaryota; Fungi; Glomeromycota; Glomeromycetes; Glomerales; Glomeraceae
Description: SSU rRNA
Rfam family: Eukaryotic small subunit ribosomal RNA
Source: RNAcentral
AGCAGCCGCGGUAAUUCCAGCUCCAAUAGCGUAUAUUAAAGUUGUUGCAGUUAAAAGCUCGUAGUUGAAUUUCGGGAUCAAUAUGUUGGUCGUGCCUCGGUACGUACUAGCAUAUUGGUUUCUCCUUUCUGAAGAACCAUGAUGUCAUUUAUUUGGUGUCGUGGGGAAUCAGGACUGUUACUUUGAAAAAUUAGAGUGUUUAAAGCAGGCUCACGCUUGAAUACAUUAGCAUGGAAUAAUGAAAUAGGACGUUUGAUUCUAUUUUGUUGGUUUCUAGGAUCGACGUAAUGAUUAAUAGGGAUAGUUGGGGGCAUUAGUAUUCAAUUGUCAGAGGUGAAAUUCUUGGAUUUAUUGAAGACUAACUACUGCGAAAGCAUUUGCCAAGGAUGUUUUCAUUAAUCAAGAACGAAAGUUAGGGAUCGAAGACGAUCAGAUACCGUCGUAGUCUUAACCAUAAACUAUGCCGACU